GUGCUCACUUAGGCAGCAUAUUUACUAAAAUUGGAAUGAUACCAAGAAGAUAAAGCAUGGCCCUGUGCAAGGAUGACACACAAAUUCAUGAAGCAUUCCAUAUUUUU
This 107-nucleotide small nuclear RNA is filed under the name Dasypus novemcinctus (nine-banded armadillo). The record is from RNAcentral. Lineage: Eukaryota; Metazoa; Chordata; Mammalia; Cingulata; Dasypodidae.